Long non-coding RNA from Pipistrellus kuhlii (Kuhl's pipistrelle), 1199 nucleotides. RefSeq lists it as uncharacterized. The record is from RefSeq and is a predicted model, not a curated record. Lineage: Eukaryota; Metazoa; Chordata; Mammalia; Chiroptera; Vespertilionidae. The transcript has 3 exons.
UGACUGACAAAUCCAACAGGAUGUAAGAGAGUAGAUGGAAGGCUGUGUUGAUGAGGGUGGGAAAAGGAGUAGGUCCAGAGUUCAUAGGACAAGAGAGAAUGUCCUUUAGUGGGGGAGGGAUAGGUCUGGAAUUAAUAUAGGUUUUGAGGAGGACAAUUAUAGUAGAAUUAAUGACUCCCUCAUCAUCCCAAGACCGUUUCACCUGAAAAGACCAAAAACCUCCAUUGGUGCAUUCAUUGUUAGCUGCCCAUAGGAGGAUUAUGGAGAGAGGAUGAGACAUGUAAAAGGAAAUAACAAACCUGAACUUCUUCUGGAAUAAAAACUCAGAGGAUCCCUUUCCAGGAAAGAUCUACUAUCCAUGAGUGUAGGUCUUCUGGGGAAGCAGAUUGCAGUCGCCACCAGGACCAGUCCUCCAGGAUGCACUGCAGGAAAUAACAGAAUUUAGCCUGUGAGGAUGGGUCAUCAGGUCCUGGAUGGUGCCACUGAGUCCUCUUUGGGGAUGAUGGGGAGACAUUUGGUGAGCCUGAGAGAGACAGGUCCUGUGGGGGUAGAAGUGUAAGAAGGUAGUGUUUUGUGUAGAGGUUUGUAUGGCUUAAUGUGUGAGAGGUGAUAUCAGUGGUGUAUUCCUCGUUCCUUUGCUGUCACAGGGGUAGAUAGUAGGACUGGGAAAGGCCCCUCCCAUGUGGGUGUUAAGGAUGACUCCUUUUUUCUUGACAUAGACCCAGUGCCCAGGAAGGACUGAGAGGUGAGUAGAAGUUGUAGGAAAGGAAAGGGGGAGGAGAUUAUCAGUGUGUUGCUUUAAGACUGCCCUCCUAUGGGCAAAAGCAGGGAAGUAGUCUCCCAGAGAUGGGUAAUUGUUCUCCGGGGUUUAGAGGACAAAAGCUGCCUAUACAUGAUCUCGAAGGGCUUAGAAGUAGUGGUUGUCGUGGUAUGGCCCUCAGUCUCAUUAGUGCCAGUGGGAGUAGUUCAGUCCAGGGCAUACGGAGCUCUAAGAAUAGCUUGGUUAGAUGGGUUUUUAAGAGAUGAUUGGCCUUUUCUACUUUACCUGAAGACUGAGGGUGGUAGGGGAUGUGGAGGUUCCAUUUGAUGUUUAAAGUUUGAGAGACCAACUGUAUUAUCUGAGAGACAAAUGUGAGGCCAUUAUCAGAUUGAGGAGACAUCAGAAAGCCAAAGUGGGGGAUGAUGUCAUGGGAAAGGCU